CAUGGAAGUUGCUGCUUCUGAUCCAGAGCUGGGAAAGGUUAACAGGGCCGCGGGUCGCCCAGGGUUGGGAUGUUGGUGUCGGCUGGGGGCUGCUGUGAGGCGCUUGGUAGCACCCAGUCCUGAUACUCUCCAGUUACCCGGUAGGCGGGGCUCGGACACAAAGAAAAGGUUAUCUAGAGACACUCAGGAUGUGGGGGACACCCCAGCAAUGCCAUCCCUCCUUUGACCUCCAGAGCGCGCAGAAUUACAAAGGAUCUUUGGGGGCUUGGAUGGAGGAACAGGAAAAGAGGAGCCAGGCUUUUUUGGAAAAUUGGCGGCAGCGGUGGCAUACGGGAAACUGAAAUCUUUAUCUAAUCUCAUCCUUUGUAUAUUCGUCUUGGAUUUGCUGAAGAAAAUUAAAAGGCCAGGCCUACCACUCCUAUGGCACAGUAUUGAUGAGAGACAUCAGUGGAGCUCCCCACCUCCACCCCAGGCUUGGAACUUAGGGAAUGACUGGUUUUUGUCAUUUCACACAACAGCUGAAGGAUUCUGUCCCCACCUCGUCCUCUGUGAAGUCUGCUGGACGUACCUGCCAGAAUCUUCUGAAGAUGACGUUUGCUGAACACUGACCCACAGGGGUUUGAUGGAUUAUUGACAAUGAGACAAGCUGUCUUUUCAUCAAUUAGAUAUUCCAGUUGUUUCAGGUCAAUUUCCCAAGAUUUCUCUGGCUGGAGAGAAAGAAAGGAUGAGACUAAGAUGAUUCUGAAACAUUUAGGGGGAAUCCUCACUUAUCUCAAGGGUCCAAUGUAAGCAAUAAAGUCUGUCUCUGGCUUCAACCACCACUUUGAGACCUUCCUCUGCUGAAGUAAUGUUCAUAUAUUUUUUACAGGUGAAACCAUGGGUAGUACUGAGCCCUAGGUUGGGCAUCUAUCCCACACCAAGCACUGUCUGGCAUCUUGAACCUGAAUCGAGUCAUGUAAUCUUCACAUCAGUCCUAGAAGUAGAGGCUGUUUCAUUCC
RNAcentral lists this long non-coding RNA (998 nucleotides) under Homo sapiens (human). RNAcentral's name for it is "long non-coding RNA NONHSAT173234.1". The record is from RNAcentral. Lineage: Eukaryota; Metazoa; Chordata; Mammalia; Primates; Hominidae.